RNAcentral lists this long non-coding RNA (1229 nucleotides) under Salmo salar (Atlantic salmon). RNAcentral's name for it is "lncRNA (ENSSSAG00000084990.1)". The record is from RNAcentral. Lineage: Eukaryota; Metazoa; Chordata; Actinopteri; Salmoniformes; Salmonidae.
GCAGUAGGGAUGUUCUCUUGAUAAGUGUGUGAAUUGGACCAUUUUCCUGUCAAAAUGUCACAAGUACUUUUGGGUCUCAGGGAAAAUGUAUGGAGAAAAAAGUUCAUAAUUUUCCUUAGGAAUGUAGUGAAGUAAAAGUAACAGUUGGCAAAAAUAUAAAAAAUAGUUAAGUACAGACACCCAAAAAAACUACUUAAGUAGUACUUUCAAGUAUUUUUACUUAAGUACUUUACACCACUGCAUGUAAAGUGUUGGUCACAUGUUUCAUGAGCUGAAAUAAAAUAUCCCAGAAAUGUUCCAUAGCACACAAAGCUUAUUUCUCUCAAACAUCUUACUGAGCAUUUCUCCUUUGCCAAGAUAAUCCAUCCACCUGACAGGUGUGGCACAUCAACAAGCUGAUUAAACAGCAUGAUCAUUAGGCAGGUGCACCUUGUGCAGGGGACAAUAAAAGGCCACUCUAAAAUGUGCAGUUUUGUCACACAACGCCACAGAUGUCUUAUGUCACAUGUCUCAGUAAGCAAUUGGCAUGCUGACUGCAGGAAUGUCCACCAGAGGUGUUGCCAGAUAAUUGAAUGUUCAUUUCUCAUCCGGCUUCUUCGCCUGCGGGACCGUCUUGAGACCAGCCACGUGGCCAGCUGAUGAAAACAUGUGCUCGCACAACCGAGGAAUAUUUGCAAACUGCCAGAAACAGUCUCAGGGAAGCUCAUCUGUGUGCUCAUCGUCCUCAACAGGGUCUUGACCUGACUGCAGUGGGGAAAUGCUCAAGUUCGAUGGCCACUGGCACGCUGGAGAAGUGUGCUCUUCACGGAUGAAUCCCAGUUUCAUUUGUACCUGGCAGAUGGCAGACAGCGUGUAUGGCAUUGUGUGGGAUAGCGGUUUGCUGACGUCAGUGUUGUGACCAGAGUGCCCCAUGGUGGAGGUGGGGUUAUGGUAUGGGCCCCAUGGUGGAGGUGGGGUUAUGGUAUGGGCCCCAUGGUGGCGGUGGGGUUAUGGUAUGGGCCCCAUGGUGGCGGUGGGGUUAUGGUAUGGGCCCCAUGGUGGAGGUGGGGUUAUGGUAUGGGCCCCAUGGUGGCGGUGGGGUUAUGGUAUGGGCCCCAUGGUGGCGGUGGGGUUAUGGUAUGGGCCCCAUGGUGGCGGUGGGGUUAUGGUAUGGGCCCCAUGGUGGAGGUGGGGUUAUGGUAUGGGCCCCAUGGUGGCGGUGGGGUUAUGGUAUGGGCCCCAUGGUGGCG